GUGGAAGUAGCUCAGUUGGUAGAGCCGUAGUGUCGUGGGUUCGAGUCCCACCUUCCGCA
Molecule: transfer RNA, 59 nt
Filed under: Lactobacillus xujianguonis
Lineage: Bacteria; Bacillati; Bacillota; Bacilli; Lactobacillales; Lactobacillaceae
Description: tRNA-OTHER
Rfam family: tRNA
About the family: Transfer RNA (tRNA) molecules are approximately 80 nucleotides in length. Their secondary structure includes four short double-helical elements and three loops (D, anti-codon, and T loops).
Source: RNAcentral